GAAACGAUUGAUUCAAUUGUCAAUUUUGAAAGAUUGUUGGCUAAUAUAUCAAUGUCCAAUGAGUUUUAUAGACACGAAAAUCUAACAGUUAUUAUCUAUGAGGACAUGGAUGUCGACACCAACACCAACAACAACAACAAUGAUCUAAAUAAUGAUCAAUCGCUUGAUAGUUCACUAUUCAGAGAGGAAAGGGAUUAUCUAAAGUCAAUCUACAAUAGGAUAACAAUUGACGAUC
Long non-coding RNA from Oppia nitens, 235 nucleotides. RefSeq lists it as uncharacterized. Lineage: Eukaryota; Metazoa; Arthropoda; Arachnida; Sarcoptiformes; Oppiidae. The record is from RefSeq and is a predicted model, not a curated record. The transcript has 3 exons.